AUUUCUCUAGUAUAAAUAGUACAUUUAACUUCCAAUUAAAAAGCUUGAUAUAAUCAAGAGAAAUA
This 65-nucleotide transfer RNA is filed under the name Phlaeoba antennata. RNAcentral's name for it is "tRNA-Gly". The record is from RNAcentral. RNAcentral also lists the same sequence under 1 other name. Lineage: Eukaryota; Metazoa; Arthropoda; Insecta; Orthoptera; Acrididae.